Molecule: unclassified non-coding RNA, 598 nt
Filed under: Hevea brasiliensis (rubber tree)
Lineage: Eukaryota; Viridiplantae; Streptophyta; Magnoliopsida; Malpighiales; Euphorbiaceae
Source: RNAcentral
GUGCUCAUCACAACAAUCACUUUGAUGGUCCAAUGAACUUUGUGCAAAGAACUGAGGAGGUUGAUUACUAUCCCUCGAGGCAUGCUCCACUCCGACAUGCAGAGAGAUUCCCGAUUCCAAAUCGCGUCAUCACUGGCAGGCGUGAGAAGAGUAUAAUUCCGAAGCAAAAUGAUUUCAAGCAACCUGGAGAGCGAUACCGAUCAUGGGCACCCGACAGGCAGGAGCGUUUCAUCCGCCGGUGGGUUGAGGGGCUGAGUCACCCAAAGGUUAGCCACGAGCUUCGUGUCAUAUGGAUCAACUUCCUGUCUCAGUGUGAUUCGAGUCUCGGACACAGGGUUGCCAAUCUCCUCAAUUUGAAGCCAAACAUAUAAUGAGAAGUCCUCUGAUUUGAAGAUGGGAAGUCUGGAUAUUCUAAUGUAAAUUAGCUUGUGUGUUUCUUGGAGUUCUGCACUAUAUAAUGCGAGUGUGUAAUAAAUGGCUUACUACCUCCGACACUAUGUGAGUGUUAAGUCGAUCCAAACGGAGUUAUGCCAUAAAGAACAAUAGAAGUUAUCUGCCGGUGUCCUUUAUUUACUCAAUUUGGGAAUGCAUUAUGAGA